GACGGGGGGUGCAAGCGCUGUUCGGAAUUACUGGGCGUACAGGGCCCGUAGGCGGUCUGUUAAGUUCGGUGUGAAAGCCCCCGGCUCACCCGGGGAACGGCGCCGGAUACUGGCAGACUAGAGUACCGGAGAGGAGGGUGGAAUUCCUGGUGUAGCGGUGAAAUGCGUAGAUAUCAGGAGGAACACCGGUGGCGAAGGCGGCCCUCUGGACGGAUACUGACGCUGAGGCGCGAAAGCGUGGGGAUCAAACCGG
This 253-nucleotide unclassified non-coding RNA is filed under the name uncultured delta proteobacterium. RNAcentral describes it as "contains 16S-23S intergenic spacer region". It matches the Rfam family "Bacterial small subunit ribosomal RNA", at positions 524 to 776 of the family's 1533-position model. The record is from RNAcentral. Lineage: Bacteria; Deltaproteobacteria.